CCUACGGGUGGCAGCAGUGGGGGAUAUUGCACAAUGGGGGAAACCCUGAUGCAGCGACGCCGCGUGGGUGAAGAAGCGCCUCGGCGCGUAAAGCCCUGUCAGCAGGGAAGAAAAUGACGGUACCUGAAGAAGAAGCACCGGCUAACUACGUGCCAGCAGCCGCGGUAAUACGUAGGGGGCAAGCGUUAUCAGGAUUUAAUGGGUGUAAAGGGGGCGCAGACGGCGAUGCAAGCCAGGAGUGAAAGCCCGGGGCCCAACCCCGGGACUGCUCUUGGAACUGCGUGGCUAGAGUGCAGGAGGGGCAGGCGGAAUUCCUGGUGUAGCGGUGAAAUGCGUAGAUAGCAGGAGGAACACCGGUGGCGAAGGCGGCCUGCUGGACUGCAACUGACGUUGAGGCCCGAAAGCGUGGGGAGCAAACAGGAUUAGAUACCCCAGUAGUC
This 440-nucleotide ribosomal RNA is filed under the name uncultured bacterium. Its description in RNAcentral is "partial 16S ribosomal RNA". It matches the Rfam family "Bacterial small subunit ribosomal RNA", at positions 338 to 795 of the family's 1533-position model. The record is from RNAcentral.